This is a long non-coding RNA of Loxodonta africana (African savanna elephant), 8173 nucleotides long. RefSeq lists it as uncharacterized. The transcript has 4 exons. Lineage: Eukaryota; Metazoa; Chordata; Mammalia; Proboscidea; Elephantidae. The record is from RefSeq and is a predicted model, not a curated record.
UCCAGGCACAGAGACAGUGCUGGGAGUGGCAGAAAGAAGGGGACAGGUGGCUUGGUCAGUGGAGGAGCGUGGCUGGGCUCCUGGUUAGGGCUGACUCAAUAGGACUUGAAUGUCUGCCCCAGGACUUGGCCUUGUCCUGGUUCCUAGGGAGCCAUGGAGGGCUGUAGAGCAGGGGAGUGAUGCGGUCUGGACUGUGCCUCAUGAGGUAAAUACAGUCAUGGUGAAGAGGAAUUGCUGACAUGUGGACCCUCAAAACAGAGAGACCAGUGAGGGGCUCUUGCAGCUGCCCAGGGAGAGUGAUGAGGACAGGACCGAGGCCAUGGAGCAUGGUGUGUGGCAGGGCAUGGUGGGGUGGGGUGGGGCAGGAUGGACAGUGUGCAUGUUAGAGCAGGAAGUGGCUCGGCACGGUGGCGAUGUGACGUGGUGGCGGGGCAGGGGUGGGGCAGGGCAGGCAGUAGUGUGGCCUGGCCGUCAUGGCGUGGGGGGCAGUGUGUGGGUGGAGGGAAUGUUGUGGGAAUAGGGUGUGGUAGGGAAUGGCCUGGCGGGUGCUGUGUCUCAGCUUCUCUACUGAAACUCUGCAUGUCAGGGCAUGAGGGGCAGAGAGGAAGCAGAGGAGCCAGGGGUAGCUUGAGGGCAGGGAGAGGAGACCCCUGAGUGCACCCGAGGGGACUCUGCCCCACCUGAGGUGGGAAGUGCUCCCAGUAGUGGUGGCGGUGAUCCUAGCACUUCAGCAGAGACCCUGGAGAGAAGGUUAAAAUAGAGGACCUUGCUGACAAGUGGGCGCAAGAGUGCUCAGGGUCUGUGAGUGCACUGACCAUUUGGACAACAAAUACUGGCCUGGCGAUCCUGGUGGCCGACGACAAAUGCCAAGGCAGGGAAGGGAGCUGCGUGGGCUCAACGGAGGGGCACACUGAGGGCUGUGUGGAGCCCGAUGGGAGAGACGAAGAUGCCACAUCUGAGGAAGCACCAACACCCCUUCCCUCUGUGGAGGGAUGGCUGCCACCUGUCUCUCUCCCAACCCACAGCACCUUCCUACAGAAUCAAAGCCUCUUCUUAAAUUUACAAUCCCUGACAGGAGCGGAUGACCCAGUAAACAAGGUGAUGGAUGGCUGUGACCAGGCACUGCUGACCUCCGCCUCUAAUGAUGAACGACCGAGGGGUGAAUGUUCCAUUUCAGACAAUCACCUGCCACCCUGCAGCGUUGCCACGGGGCCUGCUGUGACGGCGUCGUGUUCCAUACUCUGUCCAUCUAUCAAGUGAGCGGAGGCCAGAGGGCCUCUCAUGCCAGCUGGACCCCCGAGGAGGGCCUGGGAGGACCCUGGGGAGGGGGGAAGUGGACUCACCCAGGGUAGAGGUGGGAGUUGAGCCUAACAGGCAGAAACCAGUGUCAGACUCCAGCUUCUGGUGGAGAACUUAGCUGCAAAAAGCAGGGGAUUGUUUCUAGUGUCCAGGGGCCACAGCCCCACCCCUGCUGGGCUAUGUCACAGGGUGGGUGUAUGUGGCUCCAGCAGCGUCUUCCCAUGGUGGACACCCAGCUCAGUGAGCACACUGCCUGGAAUUGCCCCACACAACUGGGUGGAAUCAUUCCUCUGUGCUGGGGCAGUUUUCCUUCCCAAAAUGGACCAACGCCGUUGCCAACCAGUCAUUUCUGACUCAGGUAGUCCCCAUGCACUAUAGAGUAGGGCUGCUCCAUAGGGUUGUCUUGGCUGUAGUCUUUAUGGCAGCAGAUCACCAGGCCUUUCUUUGGCUGCUGGGGGUUCUAACUGCCAGCCUUUUGGUUAAUAGAGAAGCACAAACCGUUUGUGCUGCUCAGAAGGGACGCUGUGCUUUAUCCCCCCUCCACCCACCCCACCCUGGUGGAGGUGCGGCAUUUAGGUGUGUUUCUAAGUGGGGGUGCUGGCAGAGAGCAGCGGGGGCACAGAAGGGCGCUCUGUGUGUUAGUGACCAUCCCAUGUAUCAUCGUUGGGAGCCAGCCCUCUGCCCUCUGCCCACACCCUUCCCUGCCCCGGGCCUUCCUUCCAGGGACCUUUUGGGGGGGAGGGGCCUGUGCUCUUGAUGGGGGCUGGUCAGCUCAGGUGGGGUUAGUCCCUGGGCCUGUCCAUGACUUCAAGCCCGUUAGUGCCAGGCCACUAAAUAUAGUGCUGCCAGUGACUCACCCUGCAGCUGGCUUCAGCUCCCCGAUAUCUGCUUUGAGGUGCCAACUGCCAGCCCUUAAAAAUAGCCUUAUUGUUUUCUUCUAAUUAUAAAACUAAUACACAAUAAUUGCAAAAAAAAAUUCAGAAUAUGCAGAAAGUACAAAGACAGACCAGCACCUGUCUGUAAGUUUGCCGUAUUGUGGUGGCUUGCGUGUUGCUGUGAUCCUGGAAGCCAUGUCACUUGUAUUUCAAAUAUCAGCAGGGUCACCCAUGGUGGACAGGUUUCAGUGGAGCUUCCAGACUAAGACUAGGAGGAAAGGCCUGGCAAUCCUUGAGAAAAUCAGCCAGUGGAAACCCCAUGAAUCACAGCAGAACAUUGUCUGGUAUAGUGCUGGAAGGCAUUCGAAUGCACAGUGGCUGCAACAACGGAUUUGAGCACGCCAACCAUCGUGAAGACGGCACAGGACCAGGCGAUGUUUCAUCCUGUCGCACAGGAGGCUUCCAUGAACCAGAGUCAACCUGAUGGCAACGAACGACAACAAUGAAGAAAGAAAUCCUGAUCCCCCACUGCCCUCCCCACCCAGUUUCUGUGCGUGUUUGUGUGUGUUGGCCACGGAUUCGGGUGGUUCUGCACUUACACGUUUGUAACUGCCAUUUCCCACACAUGGCUCUGUAGGCGGCUGUCUUAGCUCUCUAGUGAUAACAGACACACCGCAAGCAGGUGGCUUAAAAGCGCAGAAAAUGUACUUUCGCACAGUUUAGGAGUCUAGAAGUCUGAAUUCAGGGCGCCAACUCUAGGGAAAGGCUCUCUAUCUCUGUCAGCUCUGAGCGAAGGCCCUUGUCUCCUUUCAACACCUGUGGGCUUGGCACUCCUUGGAGCUCUCCCUCUGUCUUGGCAUUAAUCUUCCUACGGGUCUAGGAGGUGCUCAGCACAGGGACCCUGGAUCCAAAGGACACUCUCCGCUCCCAGCUAUUCUUUCCUGGAGUUGGUGAGGUCCCGCUUCUCUCUGCUCACUUCUCUCUCCUUUACCUUUUGUGAGAUAAAAGGUGUGACUCAAGCAAGGCUGUGACUUGAGAAAGGCUGUGACUUGAGUAAGGGUGUGACCUGAGUCACAAUCUCUUAUAAGUCUGUGACUCAAGACACACCCCACACUGAUCCUGCCUGUUAACAUGCAGAGGUUAGGAUUUAUAACACAUCACAAAACGGAGGGUAAUUACAUCAGAGCACAAAAUGGAGGACAACCGCACAACACUGGGAAUCAUCUAGCCAAGCCGAUCCGUACUUUUGGGGACACAAUUCAAUCCAUGACAGCAUCUUUCCACCUUCAUAAACGCAGCGCCAUGUGGUCACUUUCUCGGCUGCACCCAGUCACCGCUAACUCCAAUUUCCAAAUCGGGCUUGCUGUGAACACUGCUUCUGCCACUGGGUGGCUGGCCUUGGACACUCCAUGACCUUGGCCAAGGCAGGGACCCUCUGAGCUUCUGUUUCCUGAUGGGAAAAAUGGGCUUAUUGGCACUGCCUCAUAGCACUGCCCAGAGACGUCAGGGAGGGAAAGCUCUCCCUCCUCGGGGUUCGGCUCAGACCUCCUGCUGAGCCAGUACCCACUGCGACCCCCCACCCUGCGCUGGUCCCUUGCUACUGUGAGUCCCCUGUGGACAUGUUGAUCAAUGCCACCAACCCUGCCCUGGAAAACAUGCAAGUUGUUUUCAAUUUUCCUCUUACAAAAACACAGUGACGUCCCCAGGUGGUGUAAAUGGUGAACGUUCUCAGCUAGUAAUUAAAAGGUUGGCAGCUCCAGUCCACGUAGAGGUGCCUUGGAAGAAAGGCCUGGUAAUCUACUUCUGAAAAACCAGCCACUGAAAACUCUCUGGAGCACAGUUCUACUCGGACACACGUGGGGUCGCCACGAGUCGGAACCGACUCCACAGCGACUGACAAACGGCACAGCAGUGAGCGUCCUUGCUGUGGGGGCUUGCCGAGCCUUUGCCCAUUUGCCUGAUUUGUCACUAAAUGAGUCUCUGAAAUAGGAACUGCUGGGUCCCUGGGCCCCUCCUUGGAAGAGUUCGGAUAUGUUUAGGAAACAGAACCAAGGCUAUCUGAUGUAGCUCUUAGGCAGCGUAACCCAGUGCCAGAGUCUGUCAACAUGGUACGCAGCCCAGGUGGAAGAGGCUGGUCAGAAGGCACGUGGGCAAUCGGAAGCCUGCCCCCCGCUGGACCACGCUGCCUUUUGUACUCAGCAAGGCCAGCAGAAACAGCAAUGGCUGCUGUGAUCAUCGGUGACGAUUCCCGGAAACCUGUGUCCUAAACCCCCACAGUUGCAAAAAGAUCAACAGCUGCAGCCCUAGCCCGUUGCCCAGCCGCGGACAUGGGGCUCCGGGUGGUGGGUUCUCAGCAGAGGAUGAGAAGGUAUGGGGCCAGGCUGGGGUCGGGCGGCUUGCGGUGGACACCUGAGCCCCUCGCGGGCCCUCUCCUCACCUUCCCCCACCGUCUUCCCUCUCCAGGGCCAUAGCAGGGCCAGCUCUUGCCUGAGCAUGAGAGACGGAGUGGCCCAAUUCCGAAAACACAGCAGUGAUCACAAGGUCCUUGCCCCUGAGGGAGUUCGCUUACUGUGCUUUUUGUACCCGCUGCUUAAUUAAGAUUAAAGAAAAAUUCUCGGCUGCAGCCUUGACAAAUCACAGCGUCCUUUGAAUUUGCCGGGCCCCCAACUCCAUCAGGCUGUUCCCCAUAAUAGAGCCAUUAACUUCUUACGACCUGGCUCUUAGGCCUGCCCGGAGCGGGGAGGAGGCCUGCAAGGUAGUGCGAUGCUCUCUGUCUUGAGUGAAGCCCCAUGCGCCACCCCAGUGUCCGGGGUGCUGGGCCUCCUGACCUCCCUUUUCCCCUGUCCCCCCAGCCUUCAGUGCAAGCUCUCUGGGUUCAGGUCCCACCAGCCUUGCGUGACUGCAGAGUCUCAGAGCAGGGCCCUGGCCCGCUCAGCUCCAGGUCCAUUGUGGGCCUGGAACAGGGUCUAAUGGAAUUAAGGGCAGCCAGCGGUUGAACUGGACCCACAGUCAACGCCCACGGAAGCAGCAGUCAAGAAAUCAAACGCUGCACUGCAUUGGGCAAAUCUGCUGCAAAAGACCUCUCUCAAACGUUAGAAAGCAAGGAUGUCUCUUUGAGGACUAAGGUGCACCUGACCUAAGCCGUGGUAUUUUCAGUCACCUCAUAUGCAUUGGGAAGCUGGACAAUGAAUAAGAAAGUACGAAGAAGAACUGAUGUAUUUGAAUUAGGGCGUUGGUGAGGAAUAUUGAAUAUACCAUGGACUGCCGAAAGAAGGAACAAAUCAGUGUUGGAGGAAGUACAACCAGAAUGCUCCUCAGAGGUGAGGAAGGCGAGACUUUGUCUCACACACUUUGUACGUGUUGUCAGGAGGGACCAGUCCCUGGAGAAGGUCAUCAUGCUUGGUGAAGUAGAGGGUCAGUGAAAAAGAGGAAGACCCUCAGUGAGAUGGGUUGACACAGAGGCUGCAACAAUGGGCUGAAACAGCAAUGACUGUGAGGAGGGGGCAGGACAGGGCAGCGUCUGGUUCUGUGUGGAUAGGGUGACUCCACGGCACCUGACAACAAUGACAGCUGUUGGCUGGGGCCGUGGUUGUUCAGUGGUGGAAUUCUUGCCUUCCACACGGGAGACUCGAGUUCGGUUCCCGGCCAGUGCACCUCUUACAAAGCCACCACCCGUCUGCCAGUAGAGGCUUGUGUGGUGCUACAAUCUUGAACAGGUUUCAGCAGAGCUUCUAGACUGAGCCAGACUGGGAGGAAAGGUCAGGUGAUCUACUGCCAAAGUCGGCCAGUGAAAACCUUAUGGACCUCAGCAGUCUGGUCUCUAAGUGACCUUGGGGAUGGCGCAGGACCAGACGUUUGUUCCAUUGUGCGUGGGGUCUCCAUGCGUUGGGGGCCAGCUAGAUGGCAACUAACAACGACAACAACUGACCAGCAGCUUCCAGCUUCCGGUCAGCCCACAGCAACGGCGCUGGCGCCUGUGCGAGCGUUGUCUCUGGCCCACGGCCGGUGGGGGCCGUGGGGACCAUGUGUCUGCGUCUUCCCCACUGUCCCCCGCCCAGCGCACUGUGGCACUUCAGGAGCCUUGAGGAAGGAGUUUGUGCUUGGCUGGGAUCUGAAAUGUGUCUGUGACCCACCCGGCACCUUUUGGCUACACGUGGGAGGGUCUCUGGGACGCCUACAGCUGGGCUGGGACCUCAGGGGAGGUGGGCCCUGCUCAGCCCAAUGACUUGGUGCGAAGCCUGCCACAACCAGGAACUGAACCUGGUCGACUUUCCACAGUCCUUGACUGCAUACAGCGGACUAGCCCUGCCUGCAUCCCCGAUGCACGCAGAUCUUCCACACACACCCUGUCCACUGCUAUCCCAUUCCCAAACCCUGUCCGCUGCUGUCUUGUCCCCCCACCCUGUCCCCACGCCCUGCCCCCAUGCUCCUCCUCCACACCCUGUCUACUGCUGCCCUGUCCCCACACCCUGUCCCCAAGCCCUGUCCCCAUGCCCUGUUUACUGCUGUCCCGUCCCCACAUCUUGUCCCCACACCCUGUCUUUUGCUGCCCUGUCCCCAUGCCCUGCCCCUACACCCUGCCUACUGCUGCCCUGCCCUCAUGCCCCGUCCUGUGGCCUAUCAGGGUCCUUUGAGCCCCACGUCCCUCACCUGUAACUUCUGUGAUAUCCUUCUUUCAAACCCCAGAGACCUCACCUGACCCUCCAGCAUGGGGGCUGCCCUACCUCCAGACUCAGCAUUCAGCGCUGACUGACAGGAAGCCUUGCUCCUUGGAGAGAACUUCCUUCUGGAGUGACUCUCAAACUGGUCUGAUGCAGAGAGCACAUCCAAGCUGCCCUCCGGAACCUCCUCUCCCAGGCAGAGCCUAAGGACACAGCUCUCCCAUCAUCCGCCUCCAAGUGUUGUUUGAGGAUUUGACCACAGGGCAGUGGUCCCACCUUCAGGGGCCUGGGCUGCAGCCAUUCCCACAAUAGUUAGUGAUUCUGGGGAGAUGGGCCGCCGAGGCUCCGGCUGUGAUAGGUGCCCAGAGCGAGAUCCUCACCUGCAGCCAGCUUCUCUCAUCCCAUCUGCCCCUCCAUCGUCACCCUCGGUGACAGAGCCAGAUGGCCCGACUGGGGCCUUGUAAGGUUGCAUGGUAUCCCCCCAUGGAGCAGGAACACAAAUGGCAGGGACAGGGGAGAUCGUCUAAGUCCCGCACCCAGAGAGCUUGGCUCGCCUGGGGAAGGGUGACCUUCUCCCCCCUUGCCAUCUUGCCUUCCAUGUAAUGGAAUGGAGACCAUUCUGCUGAGAAAUUACACACACCCUAGCCGCUCAUCUGGUUACCCGCAGCACUCACAGCAGCCAGCGUCGGUCGAGGCUGCCCAGGGCCAGGCGCAUGGUGGGUCUUGACACACAUCUUCUCCGUUAACCCCUGCAGCACCUGGGGAUGAUGCCCCUCUUAACAACAGGGAACAGAGCUGAUAGAUGGUGCCCACAGUCACCGGUGAGCAAGUAGGGGAGUGAGAUUCCAGCAGGUCCAGUGCCAAGUCCAGGCUCCGAGUUGCCAGGCUGUGCUUGGCCCUCAGUAGGCUGGGAGUUUCCCAGCCUAAUCAGAAUUACCAAAAAAUCUCAAAAGCCUGGGCUGCCAGCCACCUUGUUGCGCCACCUGUAAGCGUGUGGACGGGACUGAUGGGGCGGCCCGCCCCAGUCAUGAACCAGUUCCCAUUAACUCCACUGUUGCUUGAGUGGUCCCUUGAUCCUGAACCUUCCCUGCGCUGUCCCCCGGGCGGCAAGGAGAGACGGCACCUGUCCUAGUUAUCUGGGCUGCAGUAACACAAAUGCCACACAUGGUGGCUUUAAAGAACAGAAAUGUACUUUCUCACAUUUCUGGAGGCUAAAAAACCUACCCAUUCCUUCCCUGUCGGAGGCCUGAGCAUUCCUUUGCUUGUGGACGAUUCUCACAGGGCGUCCGCCUUCCCCCGUGUGUGCCUCUGCAUUUAGUCUGCUCUUUUUAAGACUCA